AGUGAACGCUGGCGGUAAGCCUAACACAUGCAAGUCGAACGGCAGCACAGUAAGAGCUUGCUCUUACGGGUGGCGAGUGGCGGACGGGUGAGGAAUACAUCGGAAUCUACUUUUUCGUGGGGGAUAACGUAGGGAAACUUACGCUAAUACCGCAUACGACCUACGGGUGAAAGCAGGGGAUCUUCGGACCUUGCGCGAUUGAAUGAGCCGAUGUCGGAUUAGCUAGUUGGCGGGGUAAAGGCCCACCAAGGCGACGAUCCGUAGCUGGUCUGAGAGGACGAUCAGCCACACUGGAACUGAGACACGGUCCAGACUCCUACGGGAGGCAGCAGUGGGGAAUAUUGGACAAUGGGCGCAAGCCUGAUCCAGCCAUACCGCGUGGGUGAAGAAGGCCUUCGGGUUGUAAAGCCCUUUUGUUGGGAAAGAAAAGCAGCAGGUUAAUACCCCGCUGUUCUGACGGUACCCAAAGAAUAAGCACCGGCUAACUUCGUG
This 492-nucleotide ribosomal RNA is filed under the name uncultured bacterium. RNAcentral describes it as "partial 16S ribosomal RNA". It matches the Rfam family "Bacterial small subunit ribosomal RNA", at positions 29 to 507 of the family's 1533-position model. The record is from RNAcentral.